This is a non-coding RNA of Acanthosepion pharaonis, 95 nucleotides long. Lineage: Eukaryota; Metazoa; Mollusca; Cephalopoda; Sepiida; Sepiidae. The record is from the annotation of a GenBank genome assembly.
GUUGAAACACGGAUUCUCAUCCGAUCACUGAAGUUCAACAACGUCGAGCCUGGUCAGUACCUAGAUGGGCGACCACUUGGGAAUACGAGGUGUUA